AUUGAACGCUGGCGGCGUGCUUAACACAUGCAAGUCGUGCGGUAACAGGCGUAGCAAUACGUGCUGACGAGCGGCGAACGGGUGCGUAAUACAUGGGAAUCUGCCCUUUAGUGGGGAAUAACCCGGCGAAAGCCGGGCUAAUGCCGCAUAAGAUCUUCGGAUGAAAGCGGGGAUCGUAAGACCUCGCGCUGAUGGAUGAGCCCAUGUCGGAUUAGCUAGNGGUGAGGUAACGGCUCACCAAGGCGACGAUCCGUAGCUGGUCUGAGAGGACGGCCAGCCACACUGGGACUGAGACACGGGCCCAGACUCCUACGGGAGGCAGCAGUGGGGAAUAUUGGACAAUGGGGAAACCCUGAUCCAGCGACGCCGCGUGUGUGAAGAA
Molecule: ribosomal RNA, 382 nt
Filed under: uncultured bacterium
Lineage: Bacteria
Description: bacterial SSU rRNA
Rfam family: Bacterial small subunit ribosomal RNA
Source: RNAcentral